Molecule: long non-coding RNA, 3010 nt
Organism: Balaenoptera ricei (Rice's whale)
Lineage: Eukaryota; Metazoa; Chordata; Mammalia; Artiodactyla; Balaenopteridae
Exons: 3
Source: RefSeq, a predicted model, not a curated record
GGUCGCGGCGUUUCCGGUUGCUGUGCCGGUAGGCGCGGGGCUGCGGCCGCUGGCCUCUCUCGGGCCCCUGACCGCAGACCCGCCAGCUCCCUGACGGGGUCCUUCUGGACUUGUCUGCUUCCUCGGGUCCCCGCAAAGGCUUCAUGGUCCGAAGCUCCGGUUCGCUGGGACCGACCUGGGCUGACCCAAGGCCGCGCCACUCAGUAAAGGAGGGCGUAGCGAGAGGCCAGAGCCACCACGGGCUCCGGCCCCAGCAUCCCUCCUCCCGCACCCUGCCCUGCCCAGCUGUGUGCUCCACGGUGGGCGAGGGACCUCGGUCUCGGCCGCGUGCGUGCUGUGCUGGAGCCCCACCAAGUGGCACUACUUGACCUCCAGGAUGGACGGGUUGGUCUCCAUGAUGGCCACGAUGAUCCUGUCGAUGUAGUCCUGCAGGCGGAAGUUGAUCUCCUCCUGCUUCUGGAUGGCGUCCAUGAGCUGUGGGAGGAGCCAGGGGUCGGUGCCAGGCUGCGGUUGUCCUGGGGGACACGGGGCGUCACUCCUGGGCCGAGGCAGGACCACCAGCUCCGGCACCGGCCCCCGGAAGCGUGAGCCCAGCCCAUACCUGCUUCAGCCUCCGGACCUCCUGCUCCAGCUCACUCUCCCGCGUGCGGCUGUUGUACUCCUGCAGGCCUGCGCUGCUGCUGCGGCCCCUCCUCUGCUCAGCCUCCAGCUUGAAGAGCUGCAGAUGCUCCAGCUGCUUGCGCAGGUCCUCGAUCAGCUGCAGCAGCGGGGGUUGUCUCAGCUUGGCUUCAGGACCUCUGGGGCGGUCUGAAUGCCAAUGGGGGGGGGGACCUCGGGGCUCUGUGCUCACCUCCUGGGUCGCCUCCUUGUCCCUCUGGAACUGGUGCCUCUCGUGGCUCAGCCUGUCCCCCAGCUUCCUCCUGUUCUCCUGUUCCUCACUGAGCCGCAGCGACAGCUCCUCAAUCUCAUCCAGCAGCUUCUGCUUCUCCUGCGAGAACGAAACAGUUGCCGGAGACAUGCCUGUCUGCCGCCCGUCCAUGCAGCUCUCCUCAGCUGUCUGCACCCGACACGUGGCAGGUGGGCCUGCGAGGCGCCUGGGAUGGUUUCUGGGAGGAGGCCAGAGCCCAAGUGCUCUCAGAUGUCCUCAGGGUGCAGAGUUGCCCAGGGGUCCCUGGGUGGGGAGGGGACCACGGGGCACAGGGGGUCAAGCUGAAGUCAGCCCCUCAAGGACAUCAUCCUAGAUUCAAACCAGGGGUUAAUCUAUGCGUGACUCUCCAGGCCCAAGGAUGCCGGGAAGCCGGGCAGGGUCGCGCAUCUUCCAGCAAAGGGACGGCCAGGCCCAGCGUGUCCUGGCUCCCUCACCCCCGGGGCCGCAGGGCCCGGUGUCACCAGCCUACUCUCGAGCAGCACAGCUCCCUGGCCUGCAGGCGCACCCCUUGGCCGGCCACACCCCCGCAGGCCCAUCGGCCAACAGUGCGGCUGCCCUGCUUUGGAGAACCUGUCUCAGGUCCCGAUGGCCCACAGGCACCCGGGGCGGAGGCUGCCGGCAGCUCACCUCCUCCAGGCGCUCGAUGCUGGCCUUCAGGCAGGGUGUGCAGGACCUCAGCUCACUGUUCUCCUCGUCCAGCUGCUGCAGCCUGGGGCACAAGAACAAGGCUGGGACCCGCGGAGCUGUCCCCCGACCGCCACACGCACCCACACGAGGGUCCUGGGCCAAAGCUUCUCGUAAGCCAGGAUGGUGUCUCCACACACCUCCGGUUUACAGAGAAGCUGCAGACACAGAGCGAGUCCCACGGACCCUGAGCCCCUUUCGGCUUCUCCAGGCAUCUGCUCAGCAUCGUGGCGUUCAUCACACCCACACUGGAAACGCGAAUGACCAACCCAUGGACUCAACACAGCUUUCCCACCAGCGCCCCUUCCCGUCUGGGGUCCCCGCACCGCAUUAGCCGUAAUGGCUCCUCUGUCCCCUCUGGUCUGCAGCAGCCUCUGGACUUCCCUGGCUCUUCAUGACCUUGACAGUUCUGAGCAGGUCUGGUCAUGUAUUUGGUAAAAUGUCCCUCAGAUUGGGCUUGUCUGGUGUCUUCUCAUGACUGGAAAGGUUGUGGGUUUGGGGAGAAUCCCACAGAGGAGAGGUACCCUUUGCAUCACGGGUGAUGUUGACCUGGAUUGCCUGGUUGGGGUGUGUCUGCCAGGUGUCUCCUCUGUCGAGUUCUCCUUCUCCUGUCCCUUCUCUGUCGUCUGGAGGCCAGUCACGGGGUCCAGUCCACGCUCCAGGGACCCCCGAGCGGGCAUGUCUGUGUGUUAUUUGGUCUCCUCUGCAGGAGUCCACGUUGGGUUACACUCUGGAUGGCGGUUCCUGCCGUGCCCCAGCUAUGCCCACUGGGAGCCAUGACACACCGUCGUCUGUGUGUGCUUCUGUUCAAGCGCCUCCCCGCUUCCUGGCACUCCAGGCUCUGCCAGUUUUCCUCUGUGCCAGCCACAGACCCAGCCCUUCUCCAAGAAGCCCCAGUUCCUUCCAUGGCCCCGCUGUCCUCACCCCGCCAAGAACCCCAGGGAGCUGAGGGAGGCCAUCAGGGUCCAGGCACAUGGAGCUGCUAACUGAGGUGCAAAGAGCAGGCAGUGGUGACCCCGAGUCCCAUCUCGCUCUGUGAGGGCCUCAUGAGGCCCUGUCCACCUCGGGCCCCUGCAUAUGCUGUCCCACUCAGCCAGCAGGAUGUCCCACUUGGCCAGCAGGAUGCCCCCUGCCGUGCAGGCUCUGGUGCUGGCAGACACGGGAGGCAGGACGGCCCGCCCCUAGGCACCCACAGCCCGGUGGACAGGGCCCCACGGAGAGGCUGUGGCCCGCGGGUCCACUGGACGGCACUGUGCCGAGGCCCAGGAAGAAGGCCUUCCCGGGAGGUGACACCGCAGGCCUGCCCCCGGGGAGGCCUCCCGUCCAGGGAGACCCCAGCACAGCUCUGUGUGCAGCCCCUCCUGCCACCUCCCACUGUUGAAAAUGUGUCAAAAUUUA